Molecule: ribosomal RNA, 610 nt
Filed under: uncultured bacterium
Lineage: Bacteria
Description: bacterial SSU rRNA
Rfam family: Bacterial small subunit ribosomal RNA
Source: RNAcentral
CCUACGGGAGGCAGCAGUAAGGAAUAUUGGUCAAUGGACGCAAGUCUGAACCAGCCAUGCCGCGUGAAGGAUUAAGGCCCUCUGGGUUGUAAACUUCUUUUAUAGGGGACGAAAAAAGGGCAUUCUUGUUCACUUGACGGUACCCUAGGAAUAAGCACCGGCUAACUCCGUGCCAGCAGCCGCGGUAAUACGGAGGGUGCAAGCGUUAUCCGGAUUUACUGGGUUUAAAGGGUGCGUAGGUGGGUUGGUAAGUCAGUGGUGAAAUCUUCGAGCUUAACUCGGAAACUGCCAUUGAUACUAUCAAUCUUGAAUCAUCUAGAGGUAAGCGGAAUAUGUCAUGUAGCGGUGAAAUGCUUAGAUAUGACAUAGAACACCAAUUGCGAAGGCAGCUUACUAUGGAUAUAUUGACACUGAGGCACGAAAGCGUGGGGAUCAAACAGGAUUAGAUACCCUGGUAGUCCACGCCCUAAACGAUGGAUACUCGACAUUUGUGAUAUACUAUAAGUGUCUGAGCGAAAGCAUUAAGUAUCCCACCUGGGAAGUACGACCGCAAGGUUGAAACUCAAAUGAAAUUGACGGCUGAGAGNGCGAGACGACACGAGGGAGGAGG